RNAcentral lists this ribosomal RNA (1487 nucleotides) under Streptococcus pneumoniae. RNAcentral's name for it is "bacterial SSU rRNA". The record is from RNAcentral. Lineage: Bacteria; Bacillati; Bacillota; Bacilli; Lactobacillales; Streptococcaceae.
GGCAUGCGUGCCUAAUACAUGCAAGUAGAACGCUGAAGGAGGAGCUUGCUUCUCUGGAUGAGUUGCGAACGGGUGAGUAACGCGUAGGUAACCUGCCUGGUAGCGGGGGAUAACUAUUGGAAACGAUAGCUAAUACCGCAUAAGAGUGGAUGUUGCAUGACAUUUGCUUAAAAGGUGCACUUGCAUCACUACCAGAUGGACCUGCGUUGUAUUAGCUAGUUGGUGGGGUAACGGCUCACCAAGGCGACGAUACAUAGCCGACCUGAGAGGGUGAUCGGCCACACUGGGACUGAGACACGKCCCAGACUCCUACGGGAGGCAGCAGUAGGGAAUCUUCGGCAAUGGACGGAAGUCUGACCGAGCAACGCCGCGUGAGUGAAGAAGGUUUUCGGAUCGUAAAGCUCUGUUGUAAGAGAAGAACGAGUGUGAGAGUGGAAAGUUCACACUGUGACGGUAUCUUACCAGAAAGGGACGGCUAACUACGUGCCAGCAGCCGCGGUAAUACGUAGGUCCCGAGCGUUGUCCGGAUUUAUUGGGCGUAAAGCGAGCGCAGGCGGUUAGAUAAGUCUGAAGUUAAAGGCUGUGGCUUAACCAUAGUAGGCUUUGGAAACUGUUUAACUUGAGUGCAAGAGGGGAGAGUGGAAUUCCAUGUGUAGCGGUGAAAUGCGUAGAUAUAUGGAGGAACACCGGUGGCGAAAGCGGCUCUCUGGCUUGUAACUGACGCUGAGGCUCGAAAGCGUGGGGAGCAACAGGAUUAGAUACCCUGGUAGUCCACGCUGUAAACGAUGAGUGCUAGGUGUUAGACCCUUUCCGCGGUUAGUGCCGUAGCUAACGCAUUAAGCACUCCGCCUGGGGAGUACGACCGCAAGGUUGAAACUCAAAGGAAUUGACGGGGGCCCGCACAAGCGGUGGAGCAUGUGGUUUAAUUCGAAGCAACGCGAAGAACCUUACCAGGUCUUGACAUCCCUCUGACCGCUCUAGAGAUAGAGUUUUCCUUCGGGACAGAGGUGACAGGUGGUGCAUGGUUGUCGUCAGCUCGUGUCGUGAGAUGUUGGGUUAAGUCCCGCAACGAGCGCAACCCCUAUUGUUAGUUGCCAUCAUUCAGUUGGGCACUCUAGCGAGACUGCCGGUAAUAAACCGGAGGAAGGUGGGGAUGACGUCAAAUCAUCAUGCCCCUUAUGACCUGGGCUACACACGUGCUACAAUGGCUGGUACAACGAGUCGCAAGCCGGUGACGGCAAGCUAAUCUCUUAAAGCCAGUCUCAGUUCGGAUUGUAGGCUGCAACUCGCCUACAUGAAGUCGGAAUCGCUAGUAAUCGCGGAUCAGCACGCCGCGGUGAAUACGUUCCCGGGCCUUGUACACACCGCCCGUCACACCACGAGAGUUUGUAACACCCGAAGUCGGUGAGGUAACCGUAAGGAGCCAGCCGCCUAAGGUGGGAUAGAUGAUUGGGGUGAAGUCGUAACAAGGUCAGCCGUUUGGGAGA